Schistocerca nitens (vagrant locust) is the source of this 185-nucleotide small nuclear RNA. RefSeq annotates it as U2 spliceosomal RNA. Lineage: Eukaryota; Metazoa; Arthropoda; Insecta; Orthoptera; Acrididae. The transcript has a single exon. The record is from RefSeq and is a predicted model, not a curated record.
CUACCUACUUUCUCAUCCAGUAAAAAAAAAUCUGUUCUUAUCAGCUUAAUAUCUGUUAUAUCCUGCAUCACAGGACUAGAAUAUUAAACACAAUUUUAAAUCAUGACAGAGAGCUAAGAGCAUGCUCUACUAUAAGGCUAAUAGUACUGUAUGUAUCACAUUAUAAAUUCGAUAAUAUAGCUGAU